Molecule: ribosomal RNA, 445 nt
Filed under: uncultured bacterium
Lineage: Bacteria
Description: partial 16S ribosomal RNA
Rfam family: Bacterial small subunit ribosomal RNA
Source: RNAcentral
GUGAGGAAUAUUGGUCAAUGGGCGAGAGCCUGAACCAGCCAAGUCGCGUGAAGGAAGAAGGAUCUAUGGUUCGUAAACUUCUUUUGUAGGGGAAUAAAGUGCGGGACGUGUCCUGUUUUGUAUGUACCCUGAGAAUAAGGAUCGGCUAACUCCGUGCCAGCAGCCGCGGUAAUACGGAGGAUCCGAGCGUUAUCCGGAUUUAUUGGGUUUAAAGGGUGCGUAGGUGGUUUGAUAAGUCAGCGGUGAAAGUUUGCAGCUUAACUGUAAAAAUGCCGUUGAAACUGUCGGACUUGAGUGUAAAUGAGGUAGGCGGAAUGCGUGGUGUAGCGGUGAAAUGCAUAGAUAUCACGCAGAACUCCGAUUGCGAAGGCAGCUUACUAAGCUACAACUGACACUGAAGCACGAAAGCGUGGGGAUCAAACAGGAUUAGAAACCCGGGUAGUCC